RNAcentral lists this ribosomal RNA (734 nucleotides) under Enterococcus faecalis. RNAcentral's name for it is "bacterial SSU rRNA". It matches the Rfam family "Bacterial small subunit ribosomal RNA", at positions 56 to 762 of the family's 1533-position model. Lineage: Bacteria; Bacillati; Bacillota; Bacilli; Lactobacillales; Enterococcaceae. The record is from RNAcentral.
UGCAGUCGAACGCUUCUUUCCUCCCGAGUGCUUGCACUCAAUUGGAAAGAGGAGUGGCGGACGGGUGAGUAACACGUGGGUAACCUACCCAUCAGAGGGGGAUAACACUUGGAAACAGGUGCUAAUACCGCAUAACAGUUUAUGCCGCAUGGCAUAAGAGUGAAAGGCGCUUUCGGGUGUCGCUGAUGGAUGGACCCGCGGUGCAUUAGCUAGUUGGUGAGGUAACGGCUCACCAAGGCYACGAUGCAUAGCCGACCUGAGAGGGUGAUCGGCCACACUGGGACUGAGACACGGCCCAGACUCCUACGGGAGGCAGCAGUAGGGAAUCUUCGGCAAUGGACGAAAGUCUGACCGAGCAACGCCGCGUGAGUGAAGAAGGUUUUCGGAUCGUAAAACUCUGUUGUUAGAGAAGAACAAGGACGUUAGUAACUGAACGUCCCCUGACGGUAUCUAACCAGAAAGCCACGGCUAACUACGUGCCAGCAGCCGCGGUAAUACGUAGGUGGCAAGCGUUGUCCGGAUUUAUUGGGCGUAAAGCGAGCGCAGGCGGUUUCUUAAGUCUGAUGUGAAAGCCCCCGGCUCAACCGGGGAGGGUCAUUGGAAACUGGGAGACUUGAGUGCAGAAGAGGAGAGUGGAAUUCCAUGUGUAGCGGUGAAAUGCGUAGAUAUAUGGAGGAACACCAGUGGCGAAGGCGGCUCUCUGGUCUGUAACUGACGCUGANGCUCGAAAGCGU